AGAGUUUGAUCCUGGCUCAGGAUAAACGCUAGCGGCAGGCCUAACACAUGCAAGUCGAGGGGCAUCGGAUAGAGUACUUCGGUACUCUUGCCGGCGACCGGCGGACGGGUGCGUAACGCGUAUGCAACCUACCUUCAACAGGGGGAUAAUCCGAAGAAAUUUGGUCUAAUACCCCAUAAUAUUCCGACAGGCAUCUGUUGGAGUUGAAAGCUUCGGUGGUUGGAGAUGGGCAUGCGUUGUAUUAGCUAGAUGGUGAGGUAACGGCUCACCAUGGCGAUGAUACAUAGGGGGACUGAGAGGUUUUCCCCCCACACUGGUACUGAGACACGGACCAGACUCCUACGGGAGGCAGCAGUGAGGAAUAUUGGUCAAUGGACGGAAGUCUGAACCAGCCAUGCCGCGUGCAGGAUGAAUGUGCUAUGCAUUGUAAACUGCUUUUGUACGAGGGUAAACACAGAUACGCGUAUCUGCUUGAAAGUAUCGUACGAAUAAGGAUCGGCUAACUCCGUGCCAGCAGCCGCGGUAAUACGGAGGAUCCGAGCGUUAUCCGGAUUUAUUGGGUUUAAAGGGUGCGUAGGCUGUUUUUUAAGUUAGAGGUGAAAGCUCGACGCUCAACGUCGAAAUUGCCUCUGAUACUGAGAGACUAGAGUGUAGUUGCGGAAGGCGGAAUGUGUGGUGUAGCGGUGAAAUGCUUAGAUAUCACACAGAACACCGAUUGCGAAGGCAGCUUUCCAAGCUAUUACUGACGCUGAGGCACGAAAGCGUGGGGAGCGAACAGGAUUAGAUACCCUGGUAGUCCACGCAGUAAACGAUGAUAACUCGUUGCCGGCGAUACACAGUCGGUGACUUAGCGAAAGCGUUAAGUUAUCCACCUGGGGAGUACGUUCGCAAGAAUGAAACUCAAAGGAAUUGACGGGGGCCCGCACAAGCGGAGGAACAUGUGGUUUAAUUCGAUGAUACGCGAGGAACCUUA
RNAcentral lists this ribosomal RNA (973 nucleotides) under gut metagenome. RNAcentral's name for it is "bacterial SSU rRNA". It matches the Rfam family "Bacterial small subunit ribosomal RNA", at positions 8 to 973 of the family's 1533-position model. The record is from RNAcentral.